AGAGUUUGAUCAUGGCUCAGAACGAACGUUAGCGGCGCGCCUAACACAUGCAAGUCGAACGCGACAGGGGCAACUCUGUUGAGUGGCGCACGGGUGAGUAACACGUAGGUAAUCUCCCCUCGAGUGGUGGAUAACCUUCCGAAAGGAGGGCUAAUACAGCAUAAGACCACGGUCUCGAAAGAGGCUGAGGUCAAAGCGGAGGAUCGCAAGACUUCGCGCUUGAGGAUGAGCCUGCGGCCCAUCAGGUAGUUGGCGGGGUAAUGGCCCACCAAGCCUAAGACGGGUAGCUGGUCUGAGAGGAUGAUCAGCCACACUGGAACUGAGACACGGUCCAGACUCCUACGGGAGGCAGCAGUGGGGAAUCUUGCGCAAUGGACGAAAGUCUGACGCAGCGACGCCGCGUGGGUGAUGAAGGCCUUCGGGUUGUAAAGCCCUGUGGGGAGGGACGAAUAAGUUGCAGCUAAUACCUGCAGCGAUGACGGUACCUCCUUAGCAAGCACCGGCUAACUCUGUGCCAGCAGCCGCGGUAAGACAGAGGGUGCAAACGUUGUUCGGAAUUACUGGGCGUAAAGCGCGUGUAGGCGGCUAUGCAAGUCGGAUGUGAAAGCCCUCGGCUCAACCGGGGAAGUGCACCCGAAACUGCAAAGCUAGAGUCUCGGAGAGGAUCGUGGAAUUCUCGGUGUAGAGGUGAAAUUCGUAGAUAUCGAGAGGAACACCGGUGGCGAAGGCGGCGAUCUGGACGAUGACUGACGCUGAGACGCGAAAGCGUGGGGAGCAAACAGGAUUAGAUACCCUAGUAGUCC
RNAcentral lists this ribosomal RNA (803 nucleotides) under uncultured bacterium. Its description in RNAcentral is "bacterial SSU rRNA". It matches the Rfam family "Bacterial small subunit ribosomal RNA", at positions 8 to 796 of the family's 1533-position model. The record is from RNAcentral.